GUCCUUGUCUGCAGUAGGGCCCUAGGAAUUCUUCAGAGGCAGGUGAUCAAGGUCAGCUAAUGCCCCGGGUGUCCCACCUUUCCCACUGGUGGCUCCUGGGACAGUGUGACCUGUAAAAGUUGUCUGGUCCUCUUCAACACCAAAGGUCCAAGCCUUUCCUUUGGAUCCCUUUAGAAAUGAAAACAAGAUGACAUGAGGUGUUGUUUUACAGACUUUCACUCCAUCUGGUCCCCCAGGGUCUCAGGCCUGCUGGCCAGCAGGAUCCAAUGGCUCCUUUUUCAGGAACAGCUCAUUGUUUCUGUGUCCACAUGGGCCCUGGGCAUCCUAAGAAACAACUUGUCUUUUCUGAUUGACAUAUCUGGGCAUCCCUCCUAGUUAUUUCUAUAUUUUUCCUUCCUAUGACUCUGCUGAAGGCAUUUGACCCAAUCCUGGUGUGUAUUUCAUCUCCUUGGGAUGAGGCUGACUUUGUGAUCUGGGUAAGAAAGGGAGAGAGGGAGGGCAAGGAUCAGGAAAUGGGAGGAGCCGGAUGGCUCCACCUUCAUGAUUGUUUGCAGCCAGUCCCUUUCUCAGUCUUUCUGGAAUGUGGCUGUCUACAUUCCAUGCAUGACAGGGAACUUCCUGGUUGCCUGGCGAAAGAUUUGACAUCCCAGGCUUUGAAGUCAUUAGACCCGAGUUUGAAUCCCAGGUUCCUGACUCAAUUGGGCAUGUUACAUAACCUGUCUAAGCAUCAUCUGAAAACAGCGCUAAUAAUAGUCUAACUCCCAGAGGGUGGAGAUCAGUGAGACAAACAGUGUCGGGUGCCCAGCAUGCAAUCAAUGUUGGCUAUUGGGAGAACUCUUUUCCUUCCUUAGUCUCCUAAGUGAAAUGCAAACAGGUGAGCAUUUCUGACUUCCGGUUGGUGUGGUCAUGAUGGCCAAAGCCAUGGAAUGUGCCUGACCUGGCCUGGACCACUUAUUAUUAAUCAGAAGGCAAAUUGCUUAACCUCUAAAUACACAAGCAUUCUCCUCUGUAUCACAGGGAAGAAAAACCUCCUCUGUAGGAUUAUUGUGAAGGUCCAGUCAAAAUAUGUCCAAUCCACUUAAUGUAGGCCCAUGAUCCCUUAUACAAGAGCCAUCAGAUUUUGCAAGACGUUUUGUAUUCCAACAAAAUAACACCAUUUAUAAUGCUGUGUAUUUUGUAAUUCCUGAGCGAGGUGUGAGUCAGAACCCCACAGUCAAAGGCAUUAUUUCC
This 1230-nucleotide long non-coding RNA is filed under the name Marmota monax (woodchuck). Lineage: Eukaryota; Metazoa; Chordata; Mammalia; Rodentia; Sciuridae. The record is from RNAcentral.